Pelobates cultripes (western spadefoot toad) is the source of this 494-nucleotide non-coding RNA. NCBI's taxonomy places the organism in Eukaryota, Metazoa, Chordata, Amphibia, Anura, Pelobatidae. The record is from the annotation of a GenBank genome assembly.
CUGGUGUUAAGGAGCGAUGGCCUCUCUAUGACGACUAGUUUAGAGCAAUCAAAUAACGAUUUGCUAAACCGCUAAACUAAGUGUUUUUUAAUUCCAUAGCAACUGCAUGAAAAUGAACGAAUAUCUCACCCCAUCAGGAACUCUCUAUAUCCGACUAAUUAUUCUACCACUUAUGUAGGAUUAAUAAUCGCUCAAUAUUUCUAGGGAUUGGCAGUGCAUGCUUUAGCCUUAAGAUGGAACUAAAGCUGCUAAACUAUUUAUUCUUUAUGGGGAGCAGUGGAUUAUAACUCACACCCUGGCUGAUCUGACCUUUUAGUAGAAAAAUACAUUUACAAUUAUCACAAACCGGAGAUUGCCAUGGCAACAACAAAUGACAAAGGUCGCAGGUCAUCCCCCUAUUUGAGUCUUGCAAAGUCAAGUCCUUUUUCAAGUCGGACUCUCCAGUUCACGGUGAGUCUCACUAAAGGGGUUUGCAAUCCUCUAAAGUGCUUUCA